Molecule: non-coding RNA, 105 nt
Organism: Malassezia psittaci
Lineage: Eukaryota; Fungi; Basidiomycota; Malasseziomycetes; Malasseziales; Malasseziaceae
Source: the annotation of a GenBank genome assembly
GGCCUAAUAGUAUAGUCGUAUUAUACUCCCUUCGGGAAAAUACUGAAACCCUCAGGGGAGCCCUGAGUCUGGGAGAGGUCCCGGGUUCAAUUCCCGGUUGGGCCC